Molecule: long non-coding RNA, 363 nt
Filed under: Rattus norvegicus (Norway rat)
Lineage: Eukaryota; Metazoa; Chordata; Mammalia; Rodentia; Muridae
Description: long non-coding RNA NONRATT009315
Source: RNAcentral
GGGAGAACCAGCAAUGCUGUCCUUAAUUUGGGGGUUGGGCAUCAUGCUCUGAAGGAGUCAUGUGGCAUAUGCCAAGCACUGAAAGACAGAACAGGAGCCAACAGCCAAAGUCACAAAGACUGUGGAUCUUUGAAAACUACCCAGGCCUCUGUCACUGGACGGAUUUGGAAUAGUAGCAGGCAUGUCACCCCUAGAUAUGUCGAAACACCAUUUCCCCCUGUGGUGAGAAGCUACGGUCCUUGCCCAACUCCAAAUCAUAUAAUUUCUAAGCUACAUGUUGUGCUCACACCAGUAGUCCCAGCCCUUGGGAGGCUGAGGGAGGCUCAUGAGUCUGAGGACAGCCUGGGUUACACUGUAAGUAUC